Molecule: ribosomal RNA, 201 nt
Filed under: uncultured Streptococcaceae bacterium
Lineage: Bacteria; Bacillati; Bacillota; Bacilli; Lactobacillales; Streptococcaceae
Description: partial 16S ribosomal RNA
Rfam family: Bacterial small subunit ribosomal RNA
Source: RNAcentral
GGGGGAUAACUAUUGGAAACGAUAGCUAAUACCGCAUAAGAGAGACUAACGCAUGUUAGUAAUUUAAAAGGGGCAAUUGCUCCACUAUGAGAUGGACCUGCGUUGUAUUAGCUAGUUGGUGAGGUAAAGGCUCACCAAGGCGACAAUACAUAGCCGACCUGAGAGGGUGAUCGGCCACACUGGGACUGAGACACGGCCCAG